RNAcentral lists this transfer RNA (89 nucleotides) under Bacteroidia bacterium. RNAcentral describes it as "tRNA-Ser". It matches the Rfam family "tRNA". Rfam says of the family: Transfer RNA (tRNA) molecules are approximately 80 nucleotides in length. Their secondary structure includes four short double-helical elements and three loops (D, anti-codon, and T loops). The record is from RNAcentral. Lineage: Bacteria; Pseudomonadati; Bacteroidota; Bacteroidia.
GGAGAGAUGCUCGAGUGGUUGAAGAGGCACGCCUGGAAAGCGUGUGUACGCCAAAAGCGUACCGCGGGUUCGAAUCCCGCUUUCUCCGC